Non-coding RNA from Caenorhabditis elegans, 122 nucleotides. The record is from Ensembl. Lineage: Eukaryota; Metazoa; Nematoda; Chromadorea; Rhabditida; Rhabditidae.
CCCAAGAGUAAAUGCUCAUUUUGUUUGUACGUCUGCAUCUCUUUUUCACUCUUUAUUUAUUUUAGAAAGUUUAUGAUGAUGAUGAUGAUGAUCGGAGAGUCGGGGGUGAUAUUGAUAUGAGA